RNAcentral lists this ribosomal RNA (568 nucleotides) under uncultured bacterium. Its description in RNAcentral is "bacterial SSU rRNA". It matches the Rfam family "Bacterial small subunit ribosomal RNA", at positions 165 to 747 of the family's 1533-position model. The record is from RNAcentral.
AAUACCGGAUAUUAUGAGAUUCUCGCAUGGGAAACUUAUGAAAGCUAUAUGCGCCAAGAGAGAGCCUUGCGUUCCAUUAGCUAGUUGGUGGGGUAACGGCCCACCAAGGCGACGAUGGAUAGCCGGCCUGAGAGGGUGAACGGCCACAAGGGGACUGAGACACGGCCCUUACUCCUACGGGAGGCAGCAGUGGGGAAUAUUGGACAAUGGGCCACAAGCCUGAUCCAGCAAUUCUGUGUGCACGAUGAAGGUCUUCGGAUUGUAAAGUGCUUUCAGUUGGGAAGAAGAAAGUGACGGUACCAACAGAAGAAGCGACGGCUAAAUACGUGCCAGCAGCCGCGGUAAUACGUAUGUCGCAAGCGUUAUCCGGAUUUAUUGGGCGUAAAGCGCGUCUAGGCGGAAAAAUAAGUCUGAUGUUAAAAUGCGGGGCUCAACUCCGUAUUGCGUUGGAAACUGUUUUUCUAGAGUACUGGAGAGGUGGGCGGAACUACAAGUGUAGAGGUGAAAUUCGUAGAUAUUUGUAGGAAUGCCGAUGGAGAAGUCAGCUCACUGGACAGAUACUGACGCU